UGGGGAAUAUUGCACAAUGGACGGAAGUCUGAUGCAGCAACGCCGCGUGCGGGAUGACGGCCUUCGGGUUGUAAACCGCUUUUUCUCAUGACGAAGUUUUUUGACGGUAGUGGGGGAAGAAGCACCGGCUAACUACGUGCCAGCAGCCGCGGUGAUACGUAGGGUGCGAGCGUUGUCCGGAAUUAUUGGGCGCAAAGAGCUUGUAGGCGGUUUGUCGCGUCGAUAGUGCAAACUCAGUGCUUAACGCUGAGCCUGCUGUUGAUACGGGCAGACUAGAGGAAGGUAGGGGAGAAUGGAAUUCCCGGUGGAGCGGUGGAAUGCGCAGAUAUCGGGAGGAACACCGGUGGCGAAGGCGGUUCUCUGGGCCUUUCCUGACGCUGAGAAGCGAAAGCGUGGGGAGCGAACAGG
Molecule: ribosomal RNA, 408 nt
Filed under: Fusobacteriota bacterium
Lineage: Bacteria; Fusobacteriati; Fusobacteriota
Description: Fusobacteria bacterium partial 16S ribosomal RNA
Rfam family: Bacterial small subunit ribosomal RNA
Source: RNAcentral